RNAcentral lists this ribosomal RNA (1465 nucleotides) under Vibrio sp. RNAcentral describes it as "bacterial SSU rRNA". It matches the Rfam family "Bacterial small subunit ribosomal RNA". The record is from RNAcentral. Lineage: Bacteria; Pseudomonadati; Pseudomonadota; Gammaproteobacteria; Vibrionales; Vibrionaceae.
UGCCCGUGGGCGGGCGGCUAAACAUGCAAGUCGAGCGGAAACGAGUUAACUGAACCUUCGGGGGACGUUAACGGCGUCGAGCGGCGGACGGGUGAGUAAUGCCUAGGAAAUUGCCCUGAUGUGGGGGAUAACCAUUGGAAACGAUGGCUAAUACCGCAUGAUGCCUACGGGCCAAAGAGGGGGACCUUCGGGCCUCUCGCGUCAGGAUAUGCCUAGGUGGGAUUAGCUAGUUGGUGAGGUAAGGGCUCACCAAGGCGACGAUCCCUAGCUGGUCUGAGAGGAUGAUCAGCCACACUGGAACUGAGACACGGUCCAGACUCCUACGGGAGGCAGCAGUGGGGAAUAUUGCACAAUGGGCGCAAGCCUGAUGCAGCCAUGCCGCGUGUGUGAAGAAGGCCUUCGGGUUGUAAAGCACUUUCAGUCGUGAGGAAGGUUUAGGCGUUAAUAGCUGAUUUAUUUGACGUUAGCGACAGAAGAAGCACCGGCUAACUCCGUGCCAGCAGCCGCGGUAAUACGGAGGGUGCGAGCGUUAAUCGGAAUUACUGGGCGUAAAGCGCAUGCAGGUGGUUUGUUAAGUCAGAUGUGAAAGCCCGGGGCUCAACCUCGGAAUAGCAUUUGAAACUGGCAGACUAGAGUACUGUAGAGGGGGGUAGAAUUUCAGGUGUAGCGGUGAAAUGCGUAGAGAUCUGAAGGAAUACCGGUGGCGAAGGCGGCCCCCUGGACAGAUACUGACACUCAGAUGCGAAAAGCGUGGGGAGCAAACAGGAUUAGAUACCCUGGUAGUCCACGCCGUAAACGAUGUCUACUUGGAGGUUGUGGCCUUGAGCCGUGGCUUUCGGAGCUAACGCGUUAAGUAGACCGCCUGGGGAGUACGGUCGCAAGAUUAAAACUCAAAUGAAUUGACGGGGGCCCGCACAAGCGGUGGAGCAUGUGGUUUAAUUCGAUGCAACGCGAAGAACCUUACCUACUCUUGACAUCCAGAGAACUUUCCAGAGAUGGAUUGGUGCCUUCGGGAACUCUGAGACAGGUGCUGCAUGGCUGUCGUCAGCUCGUGUUGUGAAAUGUUGGGUUAAGUCCCGCAACGAGCGCAACCCUUAUCCUUGUUUGCCAGCGAGUAAUGUCGGGAACUCCAGGGAGACUGCCGGUGAUAAACCGGAGGAAGGUGGGGACGACGUCAAGUCAUCAUGGCCCUUACGAGUAGGGCUACACACGUGCUACAAUGGCGCAUACAGAGGGCGGCCAACUUGCGAAAGUGAGCGAAUCCCAAAAAGUGCGUCGUAGUCCGGAUUGGAGUCUGCAACUCGACUCCAUGAAGUCGGAAUCGCUAGUAAUCGUGGAUCAGAAUGCCACGGUGAAUACGUUCCCGGGCCUUGUACACACCGCCCGUCACACCAUGGGAGUGGGCUGCAAAAGAAGUAGGUAGUUUAACCUUCGGGGGGACGCUUACCACUUGUGUUCCCAAGGC